CCACCUGAUGGGGGAAAUACUUCUGUGUAUGUUUAUAAAUAAAGUACUUGCUUGGCCAAUGAGACAGCAGGUUAGGCUGGACUAGGAGUCAAAGAGGAUUCUGGGAAAUGUAGUAGAGAAGUGGUGUUCCAGACAGGAAGUGACAUAGCAAGGAGACUCAUAUUUAAGAAGAGGAAAAAGGAAGUGUUGCUCUCUUUCCCCUCGGCUCCUGCUCCAGCGGCAAGAUGUGAUCCACCAGCUAGGAGGGGCGCCAAUAAGGCGUCCGAUAAGAUAAGUCUUAUAAAAUAUAUAGAUGUAUGAUGAUUGAUACUGAGCUAACAGAUGAGAAUCCUAGUCAUUGGCCAAGCAGCAUUGUAACUAAUACAAGUCUCUCUGUGUAUUCAUUUGGGCCUAACUUGGGCAGGCGGCUGCCAUAAAGCUUACACGUGGCGGUGGGGCUCAGCGGCUUUUGGCAGAAAGAUUUAUCGUAACAACCACCAGUUUGCUAGACCAGCAUAAUUCCUUACUGCAAUCUAAAUCUUGUCCUUAUACCACAGAUAGUGUGGACUCACCCCCCCCCCAUCAAUGAAGCUUCUCUUUGCACCAAAUGCAGACCAUCACAGAAAACCAAAACUGAACACAACACAGAGAUUAAUGGAUCAUGGGAACCCAGCCCAGUGAAUACAUAGACAUCACAGCUCCCACAUUUAUGACUCAGGGAACACCAUGAAAGAGCGGUCAGAAAGAUUAUAAAAGCCAGAAUACCAGGGAGUCUUUUGUGGGACAGUCUCUCAAAGAAAUGGCUGCAUAAACAAGACCUGCACCAAGGCAGUGUAAUAGACAUGCUAACACUAUAAGAGGAAAAUCUCAUGGGGUCACACCCUUGACAAGGAACUAUAACCAACCAGUUACUGCUGAGAGAUAAAGAGUUAGACCCUCCCAGGCAUGUGGCCCCUAAUUAGUUGUCCAAUACAAAAAAAAAUGUUGAGUUCUAAAACCAUGUACACACAAACAACAAAAACGGAGUCAGCAGAUUUUAUUUGUGUGUGUGUGUAUGUGUGUAAAACAAUAGUAAUCAAUUUGAUGGGAGAGGAGUCAUAGAGAGGGUUGGAGAGAGGGUACAGGGAAGGGGCUAGAGGGAGGAAGUGAAGGGAGAAGGUGAUAUAAUUCUAUUUUAAUUAAAAAUGUAUAAAAUGCUUUAGAAAUAAUUUUUAAGAGAAAGGUUAGACCACAAUUCUAGGAUAAAAUGUAACAGUCCUAGCGUGUCAUCAAGGAGGCAUGGGAGGUGGUAGGCUUCAUACUGGGAGAGUGGAUAGCAAUGCAUCUUUGCAGAUUUUCUCAUUUUAAUAAGGGUCGGGUGAACACUGUGGGAAGGAGGUUUCAUGCCAGUAAGGAACAGAACGGGAAUCUUCAAGUAAAGAACAUAAAUCUAGUUCAGAAGAAUAUUGUGAUCAGUUCUCCCACACAGCAACAGAACCUUUCUCUCUGCUGCCCUACCUACCAGAAUUGAUACUAGAGCACAGGAGAAAUGUGGCAUAGCAGCCUCCAUGCUGGGAACAUUUCUCCCUGGGAACGAUGGCCAUGCUUCCAGGAUGUGCACUUAGACUCACUGUUACCUCUGAAGUGCCUCUGGACAACUGUUCAUACCUGUUCUUCUGUCCCUCUUUUGGCUUCUGAGAAUGUCCUCCCAGCUGUCUUUUCUGAAGAUCUGGCCCCCAUCCCAACCCCUGAAAACUUUGUCAGGCACCUUCUUCUUCACAGUGUCUCUUCUGGACCUCCCAUUUAUUUUGCUUGGUUCUCUUAUUUUCAUGACAUUGGAUUUCUGUCUCACAGGUCACAUUUAACUGCACACCAGAAAUAAAUAUAACCAGUAUCUACUUACUCUAGACAUGAACUCACCCUAAGGCCUAUGACUUUCAAAUCUUUGUACACAUCUAUAAGUGUAUGCAAUAUAGGUGCUCAAAAAUAUCUUUACCGUGAGUAAUUCAAAACACAGAGCUGAAAGACAUAGAGCAUUCUAUCUGUGUACAAAUAGCCACAAUGAUAAAGGACACAGCCAUCUGUUUGGGUUUUUUUCCCUUUGUUUUUUUUUUUUUUUUCCUUUUUUGGAACACUGCCUUCAUUCACUUUCAGUACCACAACAGAGGCUUAAGAAAGUUACUGAACCAUGACCCAACUGCUAGACUUCCAGAUGACCUACAUUUUAAACUUAAGACCAGUGAACCAAUUCACAAAUUGGAUUGGCAAAACAGUAUUAAAACAUGACCCAGGAGGCAAGCCUCCUUGGAAGAAAAUUUUCUUAGUGCAUUUGGGAUUAUUAGUCUCAUGGCUGCAUCAGGAGAUCCUUUUACCAAGGAAUUAAAGAGGCCAUUUUCAAAGAAAGCAAGUGCACCCCCAUCCCCAGAGACUGCUCUGCACCUCUGUCACUCUGUCCAUGAGGUCUUCCCUUGAACACUGUCUCAUACUGCACACAGCCAGCUACCUCCAAUGCCUGCUUCUCCUCCUGCAGCUCCCACCUUUUAAAAUUGCUGGAUAGUUUUCUAAUGCCUUCUAUCUUGUGCUCAUUAAUUAGAUCUAUUUGCCAUAUUCUUGCUAGUAUAUAAACUCAACAGUUCAUAUGAAGCACGACUGCACACAAAGAAUCUACACAGUACCCUACAACAGUGGGCCCUCAAUAAAUACUUUUGAAAAUGUAAGUCAGUGAUUUAAAAUGUUUCCUUCAGGAGUAUCUCUGUGCUAGUGAAAUUGUGAAGAGCCUUAAAUGGAGCUUGUAAGGGUAUAAGCUAGGAAAAUUAAAAAGAGUUAAGCUUGCCCCUCCCAACAGCUACAGUUUAGAUAGAAUCUCAGAUAAAGAAUGGGGAAAAGCAAACAACAGGGAAACCUCAUGGGGUGGACCUGUGAGUAAAGCACUUGCUGCACAAAGAUGAGGGCCUAGACUUGCAUCUCCAGAAUCCACAUAAAGCCAGUCACUGCAGUGCCCUGGUAUGAACUUCUUCCUGAGAUGACCAGUGAGGACCAUGUGCUGGCUUUUUGACACAGCAUCUUUGCUGGCCCUGUCAGGAGUGAGUUUCUAUCAGUCACGUUCACUGAAACAUAAACAGGGAGAAGAACAAUUUCAUCUUACUAACCCUGAUGACUUUCCUAAUUUCUGAGCACUUCUGGAUGAGGCUUCUGUCUCGAAACUUCCACCCUGAGGGAUAGCAGGAUGAAGAGUGGAAAGGGCUGGAGACCUUCUCGUUCAUUACAUUCAUUCCAGAAGUAGAGGAACAGCACCUUGGACAUAAGCAUCCGAAAAUCAGUGUGGCUUUCUCUUCUGCCAUCUGUGAGUGCUUCAGCUACGGGGAGACAACAGAGAUCCUGGAGCUUAUUUCAGUCAAUUUGUCUCUAAGCAUCCAAAGACCUUCUCAGGGUCUAGCAGAAGUGAGAGUGGGUGGAAAGGUGUUAAGACAUGGUGUGGACUCUGAUCUUGAGUUUUCUUUCCAAAGAAAAGCAUGUUUUUAAAAGCUUCCCUACCUUCUCAACAGUUUCAAAAGUCAUGUGUCUUGACACUCCCACCGAGAAAAAUUCAUUGUUGUGCCUAGGGCACCAGCGGGGAAUCAAACCAUUCUCUGUUGUCAUGGACUAAGAGACUCAACAUACAGAGUGUUUUCUCUGAAGUAAACAAAUACCAGGAAAUGUGGAAGCUAGACUUCUUGUUGCUGUGACUCAAUAUCUGAGGGUAAAAAAGUAGGAAAGAUUAAUCUGGACUCACUGUUUGAAAGUAUCAGUCUGUGGUUGGAUGACUGUGCCAUCUCUGUGCCCGGGUAAGGCAGAACGUCAUAAAAAUUUGUAGAGGACAAGGUUGCCCACCUAAUGGUGACUGGAAGCAGAGAAAAGAGGAAGGAGCCCAGAAGCUACAUCCUUCAAAGCUAUGCCAAGAUCCUGGGUUUUCGUUCAGCUGAGGGAUCUGUUAAUAAGACACCACACCUUCUUCUCUGUUAACCGCCUUAUCCCUACCAGAUGAAGCCAGUGCGCAUCCAUGACUUCAAGUCCCAGCAACACUGGGGGCUGAGGGUGGGGCAGCAAUGGAGGCUGCGCACCAGUCACCCACCACCCAAGGCUGCAGCUGAACCGAUCGUCAUCCUUGUCCUCAGCGUCACAUCGCAUGGGCACUUCUGCCUUUCCAGGUUACCCUCCUAAACGACAAGAAUCGCUUCCUCAAAUGAGCAAUCUGCCUCAUCUCUAAGGUCUUCCUGCGCUUUGGUGGGUCUUUUACUUCAGAAGAAGACUGACUCACUUUACUGGGUCUGCUUCGAACAAGCACCUCUGACUGAGUUGACCUGGACCGGCUUGAUGCCUACUAUGCCAAGUCAUCUUCUGCAGGACAAAGGAUGAAACUCCAGAGCAAAGGAUCUCAUUUGCCUCACGAUGCCUACUUGCUGCAGAGCUGGACUCUGAAGCCUGACUGACUGAAUUAGUCUAAAGUCAGAACCUUGGGCGUGCUGCUCACGCACACUCAGAUGAGCUCUAUUUCAAAAGCUUUAGCAUACAGACACCUGAGCCAACUGUACAGUACUUGCAUAAUCCCAUAAGUUAAUUUUCUCAGUACCAGUUAUUGGUCAACUCAGAAAUGAUACAUCAAUAACGUUACAUAAACAAAUGUCCUUCAGCAUGCUGAGAACCCCAUUAACAUCUAACAGGCAGCUCCAGCCCUGUAUGAUUUAGCUCCCCUACCACAGUGCAUAUCACCCAUAAAACAGUCCUAGUCACAAGCAUAUUUCAAAUCCCAAACGUUUUGGGAGAUAUUUCAUAGUAUAAUUACAGCAGAAGAAAUAACGGCAUGUGUGAUGGAAAUUCACAAGUAAUAAGAUGUGUAUAUCUUUCUGUGUUCAUUGGCUUCGUCCUAAUUGGCUGCUUCUAAUACACGUUGCCACAGUCACACUACUUUAAAUACAUUUCCCAGUGUCAAGCCCAUCAUGUGUCUCCUUGUGGCUUUCUCCUUCAUUGAGUUGGAACAUAAUGAACGUUAUUGUGCCUCAGGUUUAUUAAAGAUAAAGGACUUAAUUUUUAUAUAAUAUAGGCUUUUCUCACAAACAGACUGCUUCCCAGAGCUGUGUGUAGUUUUAUGAGCCAGGCACAAUUGCUAGGAACCAUACAAGGUGGAUUAGAUUCAUUAGAGGCAUUAUGUCUGAUUUGAGAUUACAGAGACUCAACAAACACAUGACUGGCUGGGAGUUGAUCUACCUUACCUCCAGGCUGCAUUAUCACAUAAUAAAUGCUUUAUAAUACUUUUAUUCAUUGGCCUAGAAAUUGUAUUAUGAGUUCUAAAUAGCUUUAAUGGUUUUGUUAUUCUUUUCAACUAAAACCACCUACGUCCUAAACUUCGGCUGUCAUCGGGGAUCUUGUUUAAAAGCAGAUUCUGUUUCAGUGGAUACAGAGUGAGGCCUGAGGCUGUGCGUCACUUGCGAAUUCCUAAGUGAUGUCCAGAAAGCACAGA
Molecule: long non-coding RNA, 5455 nt
Filed under: Cricetulus griseus (Chinese hamster)
Lineage: Eukaryota; Metazoa; Chordata; Mammalia; Rodentia; Cricetidae
Description: lncRNA (ENSCGRG00015035389.1)
Source: RNAcentral